UUAAUUUUAUUCAAAUUAAGAAUAUUUUCAUACAAGAUUGGAAAAUCAGGUUUGAUUUGGUGCCGUCGGCAGGCUGACGUCCGGCCAGAAACUGACCGGCCCGCUGCCGAAGCAGAAGAUUCUAAUUCACAGGAGGUUUGAACUCUGACCUCGCAACCGUCUUGCGACGACCGCGAGAUGCAAAGCUUGUCAAAGGACAUUUGGUAAUGAUCCUUCCGCAGGUUCACCUACGGAAA
Molecule: unclassified non-coding RNA, 236 nt
Filed under: uncultured fungus
Lineage: Eukaryota; Fungi
Description: sequence contains ITS1
Source: RNAcentral